RNAcentral lists this ribosomal RNA (463 nucleotides) under Vreelandella stevensii. Its description in RNAcentral is "partial 16S ribosomal RNA". It matches the Rfam family "Bacterial small subunit ribosomal RNA", at positions 339 to 795 of the family's 1533-position model. Lineage: Bacteria; Pseudomonadati; Pseudomonadota; Gammaproteobacteria; Oceanospirillales; Halomonadaceae. The record is from RNAcentral.
CUACGGGGGCUGCAGUGGGGAAUAUUGGACAAUGGGCGAAAGCCUGAUCCAGCCAUGCCGCGUGUGUGAAGAAGGCCUUCGGGUUGUAAAGCACUUUCAGUGGGGAAGAAAGCCUUGGGGCUAAUACCCUCGAGGAAGGACAUCACCCACAGAAGAAGCACCGGCUAACUCCGUGCCAGCAGCCGCGGUAAUACGGAGGGUGCGAGCGUUAAUCGGAAUUACUGGGCGUAAAGCGCGCGUAGGCGGUCUGAUAAGCCGGUUGUGAAAGCCCCGGGCUCAACCUGGGAACGGCAUCCGGAACUGUCAGGCUAGAGUGCAGGAGAGGAAGGUAGAAUUCCCGGUGUAGCGGUGAAAUGCGUAGAGAUCGGGAGGAAUACCAGUGGCGAAGGCGGCCUUCUGGACUGACACUGACGCUGAGGUGCGAAAGCGUGGGUAGCAAACAGGAUUAGAUACCCCUGUAGUC